AACACAUGCAAGUCGAGCGGCAGCGGGAAGUAGCUUGCUACUUUGCCGGCGAGCGGCGGACUUUUGAGUAAUGUCUGGGAACUGCCUGAUGGAGGGGGAUAACUACUGGAAACGGUGGCUAAUACCGCAUAACGUCGCAAGACCAAAGAGGGGGACCUUCGGGCCUCUUGCCAUCAGAUGUGCCCAGAUGGGAUUAGCUAGUAGGUGGGGUAACGGCUCACCUAGGCGACGAUCCCUAGCUGGUCUGAGAGGAUGACCAGCCACACUGGAACUGAGACACGGUCCAGACUCCUACGGGAGGCAGAGUGGGGAAUAUUGCACAAUGGGCGCAAGCCUGAUGCAGCCAUGCCGCGUGUAUGAAGAAGGCCUUCGGGUUGUAAAGUACUUUCAGCGGGGAGGAAGGCGAUAAGGUUAAUAACCUUGUCGAUUGACGUUACCCGCAGAAGAAGCACCGGCUAACUCCGUGCCAGCAGCCGCGGUAAUACGGAGGGUGCAAGCGUUAAUCGGAAUUACUGGGCGUAAAGCGACGCACGCGGUCUGUCAAGUCGGA
This 550-nucleotide ribosomal RNA is filed under the name Enterobacter sp. B24b. RNAcentral's name for it is "bacterial SSU rRNA". It matches the Rfam family "Bacterial small subunit ribosomal RNA", at positions 50 to 592 of the family's 1533-position model. Lineage: Bacteria; Pseudomonadati; Pseudomonadota; Gammaproteobacteria; Enterobacterales; Enterobacteriaceae. The record is from RNAcentral.